AAUAAGUGCAGCCAUAAGUUUUCGCGUCCAACUUUAAUCGUUUGUCUUAUUUGAAUUUUUUUUAUAAUUAGCAUUUUUGUUGUUAUAAAAUGAUAAAACAUAAAUAAUACUUUACUCGUGACUUAUGUUUUUAAUUUUUUUAAAAUUUUUUUUAAAUAAGACGAACGGUCAAAAUUAGAUGCGGAAAAUCAUGGCUACACUUAUU
Non-coding RNA from Oryza glumipatula, 205 nucleotides. The record is from Rfam. NCBI's taxonomy places the organism in Eukaryota, Viridiplantae, Streptophyta, Magnoliopsida, Poales, Poaceae.